RNAcentral lists this long non-coding RNA (377 nucleotides) under Solanum tuberosum (potato). RNAcentral's name for it is "long non-coding RNA (STUB_LNC007728)". Lineage: Eukaryota; Viridiplantae; Streptophyta; Magnoliopsida; Solanales; Solanaceae. The record is from RNAcentral.
CAAACAACAAAACACCCAAAACUGAAAUCACAACAAAAACUGUGUUAUCGUAAAAUGUAUUUUUCUGGUUAUGGGUCGGAGUUGAAUCAACAGUAUUAUAAAGGUGUUUCGUCGGUGGAGUGGCUAGUAAGGGUUUUGAUGAAGCAAAGGAGGAAGAGGAAGAAAUGGAGAAAAAGAGAAAUAUAGAAAAGAAAUAGGAACAAGUGAACAAAGAACCCCACCACCUACAGACAAAUGGACUAUUUCUAUGGGUAGAGUAGUUUGAUUUUGAAAAAUUCUUAGUAUUUGACAAUUUUUUACUCUUUACAGUGCUGGAAGGUGAGGCUUCCAUGGAAGCAACAGUAUCCAACAAGGGAUUUUUUUUUAUUCUAAAAACA